UCCACUAGGGCGCGCCCGACGCCUGCGCAUUGAGCUCAGGCGGGCACUCCCAGAAACACCCGCGGCGCGGCCUUUGGGCGAGCGGGUUCGAGCGGCGGAAUCCACGAACCGAGGGGAGGGUUAGUAGACUGGGCCUCCCAGCGUCCCGGCCGGCGAGCCGCAAGCUUCCUGGUGUUGGACUACAUUUCCCAGAGCCGCCGCGUCCCCAAUGCGGCUUCAUUUCCGUUUGUUCGUGCGAUUUGGGGGCCUCGCGUGGGGAGGGCAGCGUCUGGAGGAGCUUGGCCCGGCUCCCGUUGGGCGGGCGAACCCGAAAUCGGGGCUUGGACCCCAGGCGCCAGAUCCUGGAUCCUGAACUGCAGCUUCUGUCGAGAGCCCAGAAGAGGAAAAAAUGGCUGUUACACAUUCAAAACCAAAGUCCAAGACUUACCUUCAAGGAGUGCAAAUAAAGACUUAUCUCCAAAAAAGGAUACUUAUGAAA
Lynx canadensis (Canada lynx) is the source of this 478-nucleotide long non-coding RNA. Lineage: Eukaryota; Metazoa; Chordata; Mammalia; Carnivora; Felidae. The record is from Ensembl.